AUUGAACGCUGGCGGCAGGCCUAACACAUGCAAGUCGAGCGGAUGAAGGGAGCUUGCUCCUGGAUUCAGCGGCGGACGGGUGAGUAAUGCCUAGGAAUCUGCCUGGUAGUGGGGGAUAACGUCCGGAAACGGGCGCUAAUACCGCAUACGUCCUGAGGGGGAAAGUGGGGGAUCUUCGGACCUCACGCUAUUAGAUGAGCCUAGGUCGGAUUAGCUAGUUGGUGGGGUAAAGGCCUACCAAGGCGACGAUCCGUAACUGGUCUGAGAGGAUGAUCAGUCACACGGGAACUGAGACACGGUCCAGACUCCUACGGGAGGCAGCAGUGGGGAAUAUUGGACAAGGGGCGAAAGCCUGAUCCAGCCAUGCCGCGUGUGUGAAGAAGGUCUUCGGAUUGUAAAGCACUUUAAGUUGGGAGGAAGGGCAGUAAGUUAAUACCUGGCUGUUUUGACGUUACCAACAGAAUAAGCACCGGCUAACUUCGUG
Molecule: ribosomal RNA, 484 nt
Filed under: uncultured bacterium
Lineage: Bacteria
Description: partial 16S ribosomal RNA
Rfam family: Bacterial small subunit ribosomal RNA
Source: RNAcentral